GAUCAUGGCUCAGGAUGAACGCUGGCGGCGUGCUUAACACAUGCAAGUCGAACGAAGAUGCCGGAGUGCUUGCACUUUGGCAGACUGAGUGGCGGACGGGUGAGUAACGCGUGGGUAACCUGCCUUAUACAGGGGGAUAACAGUUGGAAACGACUGCUAAUACCGCAUAAGCGCACGGUAUCGCAUGAUACAGUGUGAAAAACUCCGGUGGUAUAAGAUGGACCCGCGUCUGAUUAGCUUGUUGGUGAGGUAACGGCCCACCAAGGCGACGAUCAGUAGCCGGCCUGAGAGGGUGAACGGCCACAUUGGGACUGAGACACGGCCCAAACUCCUACGGGAGGCAGCAGUGGGGAAUAUUGCACAAUGGGGAAACCCUGAUGCAGCGACGUCGCGUGAGUGAUGAAGUAUUUCGGUAUGUAAAACUCUAUCAGCAGGGAAGAUAAUGACGGUACCUGACUAAGAAGCACCGGCUAAAUACGUG
This 481-nucleotide ribosomal RNA is filed under the name uncultured bacterium. Its description in RNAcentral is "bacterial SSU rRNA". It matches the Rfam family "Bacterial small subunit ribosomal RNA", at positions 15 to 507 of the family's 1533-position model. The record is from RNAcentral.